RNAcentral lists this ribosomal RNA (1345 nucleotides) under uncultured bacterium. RNAcentral describes it as "bacterial SSU rRNA". It matches the Rfam family "Bacterial small subunit ribosomal RNA", at positions 28 to 1381 of the family's 1533-position model. The record is from RNAcentral.
GAUGAACGCUAGCGGGAGGCCUAACACAUGCAAGCCGAGCGGUAUUGUUUCUUCGGAAAUGAGAGAGCGGCGUACGGGUGCGGAACACGUGUGCAACCUGCCUUUAUCUGGGGGAUAGCCUUUCGAAAGGAGGAUUAAUACUCCAUAACAUAUUGAUUGGCAUCAAUUAAUAUUGAAAGCUCCGGCGGAUAGAGAUGGGCACGCGCAAGAUUAGCUAGUUGGUGAGGUAACGGCUCACCAAGGCGAUGAUCUUUAGGGGGCCUGAGAGGGUGAUCCCCCACACUGGUACUGAGACACGGACCAGACUCCUACGGGAGGCAGCAGUGAGGAAUAUUGGUCAAUGGGUGCAAGCCUGAACCAGCCAUCCCGCGUGAAGGACGACUGCCCUAUGGGUUGUAAACUUCUUUUGUAUAGGGAUAAACCUACCCUCGUGAGGGUAGCUGAAGGUACUAUACGAAUAAGCACCGGCUAACUCCGUGCCAGCAGCCGCGGUAAUACGGAGGGUGCAAGCGUUAUCCGGAUUUAUUGGGUUUAAAGGGUCCGUAGGCGGACUUAUAAGUCAGUGGUGAAAGCCUGUCGCUUAACGAUAGAACUGCCAUUGAUACUGUAAGUCUUGAGUAUAUUUGAGGUAGCUGGAAUAAGUAGUGUAGCGGUGAAAUGCAUAGAUAUUACUUAGAACACCAAUUGCGAAGGCAGGUUACCAAGAUAUAACUGACGCUGAGGGACGAAAGGGUGGGGAGCGAACAGGAUUAGAUACCCUGGUAGUCCACGCCGUAAACGAUGCUAACUCGUUUUUGGGCUUUAGGGUUCAGAGACCAAGCGAAAGUGAUAAGUUAGCCACCUGGGGAGUACGCUCGCAAGAGUGAAACUCAAAGGAAUUGACGGGGGCCCGCACAAGCGGUGGAUUAUGUGGUUUAAUUCGAUGAUACGCGAGGAACCUUACCAAGACUUAAAUGGGAAUUGACAGCUUUAGAAAUAGAGCUUUCUUCGGACAAUUUUCAAGGUGCUGCAUGGUUGUCGUCAGCUCGUGCCGUGAGGUGUUAGGUUAAGUCCUGCAACGAGCGCAACCCCUGUCACUAGUUGCCAUCAUUCAGUUGGGGACUCUAGUGAGACUGCCUACGCAAGUAGAGAGGAAGGUGGGGAUGACGUCAAAUCAUCACGGCCCUUACGUCUUGGGCCACACACGUAAUACAAUGGCCGGUACAGAGGGCAGCUACACAGCGAUGUGAUGCAAAUCUCGAAAGCCGGUCUCAGUUCGGAUUGGAGUCUGCAACUCGACUCUAUGAAGCUGGAAUCGCUAGUAAUCGCGCAUCAGCCAUGGCGCGGUGAAUACGUUCCCGGGCCU